Molecule: ribosomal RNA, 769 nt
Filed under: uncultured bacterium
Lineage: Bacteria
Description: bacterial SSU rRNA
Rfam family: Bacterial small subunit ribosomal RNA
Source: RNAcentral
AGUGGCGAACGGGUGAGUAACGCGUGAGGACCCUGCCUCAAAGAGGGGGACAACAGUUGGAAACGACUGCUAAUACCGCAUAAGCCCACGGCUCGGCAUCGAGCAGAGGGGAAAGGAGUGAUCCGCUUUGAGAUGGCCUCGCGUCCGAUUAGCUAGUUGGUGAGGUAACGGCCCACCAAGGCAACGAUCGGUAGCCGGACUGAGAGGUUGAACGGCCACAUUGGGACUGAGACACGGCCCAGACUCCUACGGGAGGCAGCAGUGGGGAAUAUUGCACAAUGGGGGAAACCCUGAUGCAGCGACGCCGCGUGGAGGAAGAAGGUCUUCGGAUUGUAAACUCCUGUUGUUGAGGAAGAUAAUGACGGUACUCAACAAGGAAGUGACGGCUAACUACGUGCCAGCAGCCGCGGUAAAACGUAGGUCACAAGCGUUGUCCGGAAUUACUGGGUGUAAAGGGAGCGCAGGCGGGAGAACAAGUUGGAAGUGAAAUCCAUGGGCUCAACCCAUGAACUGCUUUCAAAACUGUUUUUCUUGAGUAGUGCAGAGGUAGGCGGAAUUCCCGGUGUAGCGGUGGAAUGCGUAGAUAUCGGGAGGAACACCAGUGGCGAAGGCGGCCUACUGGGCACCAACUGACGCUGAGGCUCGAAAGUGUGGGUAGCAAACAGGAUUAGAUACCCUGGUAGUCCACACCGUAAACGAUGAUUACUAGGUGUUGGAGGAUUGACCCCUUCAGUGCCGCAGUUAACACAAUAAGUAAUCCACCUGGGGA